GCGGGGGACGCCUGCGGGCAGGGGGCAGGGGCCGGCAGCCCGAGGGCACCCCCGGCAGAGCUCCUGCCUCUGCGGGCGCUGGUGCUCGCGCACUUUGGGUUUGAUGAGUGACUAAGCGUCGUCCCCCAGUGUCCUUCAGGGGCGUGGCUUUCGUGACCACAGGGCAACAUGUUUCUAGAAUUUUCUGAGGACUCUGUGCACUUCCAGGAGCUGGUGAGACGCAGUAGGAACUGGACUCGGGCGUGGGGAGGUGUGGACAUGGUGUGGUCAGUGGGUCAAAGUGCUCGACGGAGGCCCUUGGCCUCCUGGCUGGGAACCACUGCCGCCCUUUGCCUGAUCCAGCUUUGUCGGUGGUAGUUUGCUUAACCUGCCAGUGCACGUUUUUAUGCUUUUGGCCCGUACCAUCCCAGUAACCAUUUUUUAAGACCCAUAUUGGUCUGAAAUACGAAUCCCCUGCACCGCUGCAACUGCAACCGAAUCAUAAUCCUGCCUGCUUGCCCACAGGUCUCUGAAUUUGCUCUAUUUUUCCAUCAAGGAAAACGUGGUGAUUCUGUAAAUUCUAGGACAUAGUUUUAUAAAACCAUGACCAUAAGUCUACUUUUCUCUAGGAUAAAGGACAAAAACAAGUUAUUCCGGUCUCUCUGUUUCUUCUUGUUGUUGUUUUUCUGAUGGAUAAAAGGGAGGACUUCCAGCAGAGGCCUGGCUGCUACCAUGCGGCAUCCAGGCAGAGGGUAAGGGGGAGCUGGCCAGCUGAUGCCUGGGGAGCGGGGAGGGCAGGUGCAAAGGUCCUGCGGCAGAGAGGAGAGGGCCCGAGAGGGCAGGCGCGGUCAGGUCUGGUCGGCCGUGGUCACCGCGGGGAUUUUGCUGAGUCAGAGGGAGGGACCCCGGGUGGAGAAAAGGCUCAGGUGUGGGGCAGCCCGGUGAGAGAAGGCGCUGGCUCCCGCGGGUUUGUGUGGAGGCGCCCACGGUCCCGGCCUGCGCAGAUAUUGGCGGGGGAGGCUGCGGGAAAGCAGGAGGGGAGAGGCCACGGUUUCUGUUCCAGGAGUGCUGGGCCGAGUGGACACAGCCAGAGGCCAGUAAACAUAUUGUGACGACAGAUGCAUACCUGAGCGCCCACACCUGGGCAGUCAACCUGAGAGUCCACACCUGAGCAUCCACACCUGGGCAUCCACACCUGAGCAUCCGUACCUGCAUCUCCACGCAGACCCACUGACCACACUGCCCAUCGCUGCCCUUUGGAGCUUCUUGACGUUUUCCAUAUGGCUGGUAGACGGUCAACGUUUGUGGUAGCUCCAUGUGUGAAUAAAGACCAAGAAUCAUAGGACUUGAGCAACACAAAACAUAUAAAAUAAAAUCAAGCUUUUAAAAGAAGGCUUUAUUGGCACUUUUUUGGCUUCUUGAUUUGCUGCUUUAAAUUAGAGCGGAGGCCCUGCCCCUGGCUGGGGGCGGGGGACCAUGCUGACCCCCGGCCGAGGCCUGGACCAGCUGGGACACCGGUGGCCCGUGCUUUCCCCUGGAGGCGUUCUCUCUUGCUCCCGGCAGCCCCGCCUCCCAGGGAAACGCAGCACUUGAGCUGGCGCGUCCUGCAGGCAGGGGCUCCAACCCCGCACCCUGGCAUGCUCCCCCAGCCUCGGCCCCCAGGGUGGCGUAAGGGGUAGAAAGGCCCUCCCUGCCCCUCCCCUGCCAGGGCACAAACCUUCCUCCCUUCCUGCUGCCCCCUCCCUGCUCCCAGAAUAGCCUGUGGCCAGAGCCGCUGCAGUAAACAGCCUGCCUGGGUGAGCCGCCCGCAGGAAACGUCCUGGGAGCUGGAGGCACAGGGCCAGCUCCUCGCCAGCCACUGGGCCCGCGGGCGGGCACUGCAGGCAGGCGGGCAGGGGCCGGCGGGGCCUGGAGGGAGGCAGCCCCGUUCUCAGGCCUCACCGCCCCCCUUGCUCCCGCCCCAGGAAGGAGCCUGGCCCCUUCUGGAAACGCUCCCAGGCACUGGGCAGGAGACCCGCUCACCCAGUGCUGGAGGGGCGCAGCAUCUGGGGUGCCCCCCACGGCCACUCCUCACCCGGCGCUUCCAGGAGCCCCUGGGGCACUGCGGGCUGCACCCCGAAGCCUCUCCCCGGCUGUGCCCUCUUCUUCCUGCGCCCCCCACACCAUCCGCAGGCGUCUGCAGAGCCGGUUCUCUGGCCCCCAGGAGAGGCGAUGGGCAGCCCCGGUCUCACGUCUCCUUUUUUCUUGGAGGGACGGAAGGGGGCUCAGCAGAGGCACCGGCUCAUGGGGGGGGGGGGCCGGGGCAUCAGCCCCUCCCAGCGUGACGGCCCCCGGGGACCCGACCGUGCCCCUGCGCCCAGGCGCUUUCCCUGGAGGUGCCCCGGCUGCGGGCACCCCCAGUCCCCUGGCCGGGCACAGCCGCCUCUGCAGGGCGUCCCGCCACUCCACCCCCCCAGGCUGGCUCCCUGCU
RNAcentral lists this long non-coding RNA (2449 nucleotides) under Dasypus novemcinctus (nine-banded armadillo). RNAcentral's name for it is "lncRNA (ENSDNOG00000050239.1)". The record is from RNAcentral. Lineage: Eukaryota; Metazoa; Chordata; Mammalia; Cingulata; Dasypodidae.